UACGUAGGGUGCGAGCGUUAAUCGGAAUUACUGGGCGUAAAGCGUGCGCAGGCGGUUUUGUAAGUCAGAUGUGAAAUCCCCGGGCUUAACCUGGGAAUGGCAUUUGGGACUGCAAGGCUCGAGUGCGGCAGAGGAGACUGGAAUUCCUGGUGUAGCGGUGAAAUGCGCAGAUAUCAGGAGGAACACCGGUGGCGAAGGCGGAUCUCUGGGCCGAUACUGACGCUGAGGAGCGAAAGCGUGGGGAGCGAACAGG
RNAcentral lists this ribosomal RNA (253 nucleotides) under uncultured bacterium. Its description in RNAcentral is "partial 16S ribosomal RNA". It matches the Rfam family "Bacterial small subunit ribosomal RNA", at positions 524 to 776 of the family's 1533-position model. The record is from RNAcentral.